GCAGACGGGCGAUUUGUCGCUGCUUCGUGAUGUGCCCACGCACUGAGACGAAGGAGAGGAAAGUCCGGGCAGCACAGGACAAGCCACUUCCUAAUGUAGAAGCAGUCCGCGAGGGUUGAGUAAUGCAGAAGAAAAUAACCGCUGUCCGUUAUUCCAGCAAGGUAUGAAUAACCGCUAAAAGGUCUAACGGCAGUAAGGGUGAGAAGGUGGUGUAAGAGACUACCAGCGAUAUGGUGACAUGUCGGCUGUGCAUCUUGGCUGCUGCAAGUUCAUGUAAACUGCCGCAGAUGACUUCGCGUCAUCGAAAAGGGUUGUCCGCCCGUGGCAGAGGGUAGAACGCUUGAGCUUUAUGGUGACAUAAAGACUGGAUAAAUGACAAAUACGCACUUCGGUGCGGACAGAACCCGGCUUAUAGCUCGUCUGCUUUU
RNAcentral lists this RNase P RNA (428 nucleotides) under Candidatus Minthosoma caballi. RNAcentral describes it as "RNase P RNA component class A". It matches the Rfam family "Bacterial RNase P class A". Rfam says of the family: Ribonuclease P (RNase P) is a ubiquitous endoribonuclease, found in archaea, bacteria and eukarya as well as chloroplasts and mitochondria. Its best characterised activity is the generation of mature 5'-ends of tRNAs by cleaving the 5'-leader elements of precursor-tRNAs. Lineage: Bacteria; Pseudomonadati; Bacteroidota; Bacteroidia; Bacteroidales; Bacteroidaceae. The record is from RNAcentral.